Molecule: transfer RNA, 72 nt
Filed under: Toxocara canis (dog roundworm)
Lineage: Eukaryota; Metazoa; Nematoda; Chromadorea; Rhabditida; Toxocaridae
Rfam family: tRNA
About the family: Transfer RNA (tRNA) molecules are approximately 80 nucleotides in length. Their secondary structure includes four short double-helical elements and three loops (D, anti-codon, and T loops).
Source: Rfam by way of RNAcentral
GUAGCAAUAGCUCAAGGGUAGAGCUCCCGCCUCAUACGCGGGAAGACCUGGGUUCGAUUCCGGGCUGCUUUC